CUCGCUAAUGCGUGCAUAAUAUACAUGACGUAUAUAAUGAUAUCCGUCCGUGGUGUACCUAUACGUGUUUGUAGUUUGUAUAUUAUAUGCGACGACGGCAUCGCUUCCUGUUGAAGUUUGUGCGAUGUCAAUAAGCUGUGCUUUCAAAAUUUGAACCUACUUCCGGUCUAACUACAUUAUUGAAACCUGAGAAAACAAAAUCGAAAAUUUAUUUGAAUGCGAAUUUAUCGUCAGUGGAUAUAUAGACAAUAUCUGAUUACUGCUGCUUUGCUGCUUUUCAAAAUAAGUCUAUCGGAAUGGUGACCGUCAGUCUGUCCGAUUCCACCGGUCUAAAAACGGUUCUACACGGUCUCAUAAAACCACGACAACCGACAAAACCGUGCAUAACGUGUAAGCGCGCGGCUUCACGGCGACCGACAGAUUUAUAGAUAUUAAAAAUAUG
Molecule: long non-coding RNA, 442 nt
Organism: Rhopalosiphum maidis (corn leaf aphid)
Lineage: Eukaryota; Metazoa; Arthropoda; Insecta; Hemiptera; Aphididae
Exons: 3
Source: RefSeq, a predicted model, not a curated record